This 1476-nucleotide ribosomal RNA is filed under the name Kaloula cf. baleata AMA-2016. RNAcentral's name for it is "partial 16S ribosomal RNA". It matches the Rfam family "Bacterial large subunit ribosomal RNA", at positions 496 to 2812 of the family's 2925-position model. Lineage: Eukaryota; Metazoa; Chordata; Amphibia; Anura; Microhylidae. The record is from RNAcentral.
UAGUACCGCAAGGGAAUGAUGAAAUAAAAAUGAAACAACUUUAAAGCACUAAAAAGCAGAGAUUUACCCUCGUACCUUUUGCAUCAUGGUCUAGCCAGUCCAAUCAAGCAAAAAGCAACUUAAGUUUGACCCCCCGAAACUAAGCGAGCUACUUCAAAACAGCCUUAUGGGCCAACCCGUCUCUGUUGCAAAAGAGUGGGAAGAUUUUCAAGUAGAGGUGACAAACCUACCGAGCUUAGAGAUAGCUGGUUAUUCAGGAAAAGGAUCUAAGUCCUACCUUAAGUCUCUAAAAACCUUAAAAUACACCAAAAGACUUAAGAGCUAUUCAAAUAAGGUACAGCCUAUUUGAAGCAGGAAACAACCUCAACAACAGGGUAAUGAAUUCCUCAAUGUGACUAAGUGGGCCUAAAAGCAGCCAUCUUUUAAAAAGCGUUAAAGCUUAAUCAUUGACCUAUAUUAAUUCCAUUAAUUAACCAAAACCCCUAACUAAUACUGAAUGACUCUAUAAACAUAUAGAAUACUAUAUGCUAGAACUAGUAAUAAGAAGAAGACCUUCUCCAAAAUAUAAGUGUGAGCCGAAAUGAACAAUUCACCGGCAUUUAACGCAAUUGAACUAAUAGUAGUAACAAAAACAGGAAAACCCUACUACAUGCUGCGUCAACCUUACACUAGAAUAUUCCAGGAAAGAUUAAAAGAAAAGGAAGGAACUCGGCAAACUUAAUAACCCCGCCUGUUUACCAAAAACAUCGCCUCUUGAAAAAAUAUAAGAGGUCCAGCCUGCCCAGUGACAAAGUUAAACGGCCGCGGUACCCUAACCGUGCGAAGGUAGCACAAUCACUUGUUCUUUAAAUGAGGACUAGUAUGAAUGGCAUCACGAGGGUUNNNNNNNNNNNNNNNNNNNNNNNNNNAAACUGACCUCCCCGUGAAGAGGCGGGGAUAAAAUUAUAAGACGAGAAGACCCCAUGGAGCUUUAAACUCAGUAUCAUCUAUCUAACCACACACCACCAAAAUUUGAUAGUUCUGAUCACUAGUUUUCGGUUGGGGUGACCGCGGAGCAAAACAAAACCUCCACGAUGAACGGACCAAUGUUCCUAAUCAUAGAGCCACAGCUCAAAGAAUCAAAAAAUUGACAUAAAUUGAUCCAAUUAAUUUUGAUCAACGAACCAAGUUACCCUGGGGAUAACAGCGCAAUCCACUUCAAGAGCUCCUAUCGACAANNNNNNNNNNNNNNNNNNNNNNGGAUCAGGGUAUCCCAGUGGUGCAGCCGCUACUAAAGGUUCGUUUGUUCAACGAUUAAAACCCUACGUGAUCUGAGUUCAGACCGGAGUAAUCCAGGUCGGUUUCUAUCUAUAAAGAGUUCCUCCUAGUACGAAAGGACCGGAGCAACAUGGCCAAUAUUAUAAACAUGCCAUACCUGUACAUUAAUGAUCCCAACUCAAUUAAUACCAGCCUACUACUAACCCCAAAAUAAGAGAU